RNAcentral lists this long non-coding RNA (570 nucleotides) under Zea mays. Its description in RNAcentral is "long non-coding RNA NONZMAT002525". The record is from RNAcentral. Lineage: Eukaryota; Viridiplantae; Streptophyta; Magnoliopsida; Poales; Poaceae.
AUUUUUUAUAUACUUAUUUUUAUUCACAUAGUAUUUUCUUUCUUCCCUUUUCUCAAAUCCUAAAAUUUUCUUUAGAUUUUAAAUUCCAAUUUGGGUAUUAAUAUAUUUCUUUUUACAUUAUUUUUAUAUUGUCACAAAAUGCACACAAAAUGAAACCUCAAUAUGAUGCAUAUUUCAUUUAAGUGUCAUUAGUUACUUAUAAUCUUUGAAUGGGAUUAUUCUCAUGCUCAAUUAAAUAGAGGCAAAACACUCCUAUUAUAUGAUGUACAAAUUUGGGUAUUACAAGAAGUUAGAACAACUCGAACAAAGUGAAUUCAAGACAUUCAAGAAGAUUCAAAAGAAGAGUCUCGUCUGCCUAAAUCAAUGACUCGACCAAACAAGACUUAUGGGCUAUAGUCAAUAAUAUGUACCAUGGGUACCUAUACCAAGCUUCAAUAAGAAGGACAUGUGUAGAAUGGGUUCAUGGGCUCGGUCGAGUGCCCAGGGAUUUGGCAACCAAGAACAGAAGGAGGCCUACAACUCGUAGGAUUCUAGAAGCACACAUAUGGAAGAUAUCUUAUCAAAAUUGAG